CCAGUGGGGAGGACGGUUGACCAACAAGGGAGAAACCGAGACCAAAGGGGAAGGCUGUCAGAACGUCUCUUUCACUUCCUCUGAGACCCAAGGAAAUUCCCAGGGUGUGGUGUCCCCCAACCCAGAGUCAUGAGUCAGCAAACUCUCCUUUCCCUGACAACAGAGUGCAAUACGCAGGAUCCUGCUGUGAGUUUGGGGCUUCUGUACAGAGCUCUGGAAGAAAGGUGACCGAGUAUUCCGAGGUGGACAUGUCAAGACAACAACCUUGAGUUAUGGGAAAUGACAGGACUUUCCUAGGGAACUGAGACACAGUACUACGUGCAUCUUUUGGCCAGAGGAAAUCACCGAUUCUAUAUGUGUGUGAAAUUCAAACUCACUUUAUUGCUUCAGAAAGUGGUGGAGCUUGAAAAAUGUCUCUCCAGUUGUAGCUUAUCAGAAAGGAUAGAAAAAACGAGGGGAGAAAGAAGCCAAGAACGAAAACUCUGCAGUAACAGAAGGAAAUGGAAAUGUGGGUUAAUGGGGUCCCACGAAGAUGAAGGCAACCUAGAGGAGAAAGAUAAGUAAAAAGAGAGAGAACCUGGAGCUAAAUAAUAGUGAUGGCUUUUCAGCAGGAGAUUUGUCUGCAUCAAUGAAGGAAAAGGGAUAUGGGAAGACAGGCUAAGCAAAGAAAAGCUAGGAACUCAACUGGUUAGCCAAGAACGGCCAGAGAACACACGAAUUCAACAAGUUGGGGUUGUAGUCAGGAGAUCUGGCAAUCAGAGUUAUGCUUUGGCAGUUCACCAAGUGCUGUGAGUAGGGAACUUCCCAAAACAGCUCUGUCUGCCCCACAUUGGCCCACCAACAAACAUCCACUGGCACUGAGAAGUGUCAACCUGGAAGGAGAUCUCAACAGGACUGUCCCUGAGCUCCCUCUCCCUUGUACGUUCUGUCUAACACUUUUGCAAUGAAGAUGCUGAUAGCACGGCAAUUAAUUGGCAGUUGAAAUAGAACUGGAAGGAGACUUGAAUAAAUUGGAGGACAAAAUCAGGAUCCAAAAACAUAUCACAGUAGGGGGAAUGAUGAGCCAGUUUAAUGAGAUGAAUUUCAACAGAUUAGGGCAAUGUCUUAAAUUUAAGAUGGAAAAAAAGGAAGUGCAUAAAUACAGGAUUUGGGAGACAUGGCUAGAUGGUGAUUUGGAUGGCCUGGAGUCGGGAAACUUGAGUUCAAACACUGCCUCAGACACAUAUUUGAUGUGUAAC
Non-coding RNA from Phascolarctos cinereus (koala), 1238 nucleotides. NCBI's taxonomy places the organism in Eukaryota, Metazoa, Chordata, Mammalia, Diprotodontia, Phascolarctidae. The record is from RefSeq and is a predicted model, not a curated record.